AAAAAGUAAGUAAAAGUUUUUGUUUCUUAUAUUGGCAAGCUUUUAAAUUAUUUAAAGUUGCAGAACAAUUGUUUAUUAAUGUGCAGUCGAAGUUUGGGGUGAUUAGCCUUAUCUCGUUAAAUUUUGUUCAGCAUGAAACAGUCUGAACAGCAAUCCUCGAUUUUGUCAACAAUCUAAAACAUGCUAAGGAGUAGUCAUUCGUCGAUUUACCUGCAGCUUCCAGAUGAUCUGAAGGUCAGGAAUAUAGAAAAUAUUGUCAAUUUGAUAUUGAUGAUGAUCCAGUCAAGUCUGCUGAAGCCCAGAAGUUUCCAGACCAUGACAUUAAUGAAUAUUUCUUGAAUGGAAUGCGUGAGGAUUAGAAUGGAACCUUAUUCUGCCUUUUUACCAACUCACACCAUCUUUUCAAGAUUUAUGGAGCCAACCACAGAAGAAUUUGUUCUAUACACAUCAUUCAUAACAUUCUUAUUUAUGUUGCAUAACUUUAAAUGUUACUGGAUGAAUUGUGUUCACAUAAUGAAUACCAACAAACUUUUUAUCGAGUGCACUUAUUUUGUAUUUUUCCUAGCCAUCCAUCUAACAUAUGUUUUUAUAUAACAUAUUCAUAUACAUGUAACAUUUUUGGAAGCAGCUAUUUUUUUUAAAUUGGAAUUUAGGCUUACUAUUUUAUACAAGUUUUUUUUAAAGGGACUUGGACACGAUUUUAGAUCAAAAUUUUGUUUUCAAUUUCUUUAUGCAUAAAAUGACUUACUUGCACAUUUUGAAUAAUUGACCAUAAUUUGAAUGUUAGAAGUCAAGUUAUAAGAGAGAUACAGGGGUAAGAAUUUAUUGUUAUGUAAACAAAGCUCGAGUCUUAUGUUUGUUUACAAAUAAUAUAAAGUAUAAAAUUACCACUUCUUUAAGAAAAUGAUUCAUAGAAAAGAAGGUAAACUGAUUCGAUGUGAUCAUAAAUGAUAUUAUUAAUAGAAAAAAGCAACAUUUGAAUGAAACUUACACCAAUAAAACACAUAUGUAAACAAUAACAAGAAUCGCGCUUUGUUUACAGAACAAAGAAUAUUUAAUUCUUUAUCUUUCUUUUAACUCAGUAUUUGACUUUCAAAUUUUGACAAAGCAUUAAAAAUACCCAUAUCAACCAUUCUAAAUAUUGAAAAUGGAAAUAUGAAAUUUUGAAUUUUAAGCUCAAAUCGUGUCUAAGUCCCUUUAAUAUACUCUUUUGUAUACAAACAGAACAAAAUACUUAGUUACAAUGGGAAAUGGACAUAAUAUAUAUAAAAGUGUCUGAUAAAAGUAUAGGUCUUGUUCAUGAACAGAAGAAAUUGACAGAAACAUAUUCAGUUUUAGCCAUGAAAUACAAAUAUUAAUAUUUUUUAAGAAUAUUAUUUAAUCUAAAUAAGUUAUAAAAGUUCCCCUUUAUUCCAAUGUUUGGAAACAAA
Molecule: long non-coding RNA, 1430 nt
Organism: Magallana angulata
Lineage: Eukaryota; Metazoa; Mollusca; Bivalvia; Ostreida; Ostreidae
Exons: 3
Source: RefSeq, a predicted model, not a curated record